UUUUCUGCCGUGUUUGGAUACUCUAACUUAGGUAAAGGUUAGAGUUAGUUUCUACACUAGUGGAGACAGGGCCUAUAGCCCCGGCCCGUAAGGGGCUUUAGUCCCGGUUCACCAACCGGAACUAAAGGGGCGGGACUAAAGGCCUAACCUUUAGUCCCGGCCCUGUUCUAAGCCGGGACUAAAGGUGCUCCACGUGGGCGCCUCGUAGCGCCUUCAGGGACAGGCACUUUAGUCCCGGUUCGUUACACGGACCGGGACUAAAGAGUUUUAAUUUUUUUUAUUUUUGGAUUUUAGGGUUUUAGGAUUUAAGUGUUCGGGAGAUUAACGUGAUGCCUCGUUUGGUGUUCGGGAAUUAGUUUUCAUAUAAUUCUAAAUAGAAAUAAUUAUGCAUAUAUAUAUAAGAUUAACUUAUCUCACAAGCGAGCAUAUAUAUACAAUUAUAUGGAGAUCUGAAUUAUCGGGACUACAUCCCGUCUAUUCGAUUACAUGGACGAACAUCAGUAAUGGCCCCUAGCUACACUAAAUCGUCCUUUGUCAUCUAUAGCUUCCGUCCUCAGAAAGGUUGCAAGCUCCUCUGCAACAGCAAUCGCGCGUUGCUCUGGUAGGACCUUCUCCCUCAUGUUGGAUUUAAGUGUUCGGGAGAUUAACGUGAUGCCUCGUUUGGUGUUCGGGAAUUAGUUUUCAUAUAAUUCUAAAUAGAAAUAAUUAUGCAUAUAUAUAUAAGAUUAACUUAUCUCACAAGCGAGCAUAUAUAUACAAUUAUAUGGAGAUCUGAAUUAUCGGGACUACAUCCCGUCUAUUCGAUUACAUGGACGAACAUCAGUAAUGGCCCCUAGCUACACUAAAUCGUCCUUUGUCAUCUAUAGCUUCCGUCCUCAGAAAGGUUGCAAGCUCCUCUGCAACAGCAAUCGCGCGUUGCUCUGGUAGGACCUUCUCCCUCAUGUUCGUGUACUAUAUAAGAAGAGGACCUUCUCCCUCAUGGUCGUGUACUAUAUAAGAAGAGGAGAUGAAUAUGAAUAUCAAUCAUGAUAACAAAGAAUAACGGGUAAAAAUAGAUGUGUGAAUGUUCAUUGCUUACGUUGAAUCUGUGAUCCGUGUGCUCAGAGGUAAACGUGCGAAUGGUCUCGCAAACAUAGUAUCCGCAUAGAUGCGUCCCCUGUGGCUGUUGGUCGCACUUUACGAGAAUAGAAUAUAUAUAAUCAAAAUAAUAAUAUAGCAUCAUAAAUGUAUUGAAAAUAGAAGUAUAUCAUACUACUACUUACGUGAGCCGCUCUAAAGGUCAGCUUCUCAGGCUCGAUACCGGGAGUCACGCACUUGAACCGCUUCCAAACCCUGCCCGACAAGGAUAAUGAUUUGCUAAGUUUUUCAUUAACAAAGAAUAACGGGUAAAAAUAGAUGUGUGAAUGUUCAUUGCUUACGUUGAAUCUGUGAUCCGUGUGCUCAGAGGUAAACGUGCGAAUGGUCUCGCAAACAUAGUAUCCGCAUAGAUGCGUCCCCUGUGGCUGUUGGUCGCACUUUACGAGAAUAGAAUAUAUAUAAUCAAAAUAAUAAUAUAGCAUCAUAAAUGUAUUGAAAAUAGAAGUAUAUCAUACUACUACUUACGUGAGCCGCUCUAAAGGUCAGCUUCUCAGGCUCGAUACCGGGAGUCACGCACUUGAACCGCUUCCAAACCCUGCCCGACAAGGAUAAUGAUUUGCUAAGUUUUUCAUUAAUUGAUAUAUCAGGAAAUCAUCGAAAGAGACCGAUAGAGCGCAAGAAUGAUUGAAAUUACCCUUGGAGCAUGUCCUGCAGGCUUUGGAACUGUUCCAAGGGUCUCGAUAAUGGGUCGAAGGCAUCAACUCUUCCCUUAUCAAUUUGAAUAUCCAACAGAAUCCAAUGGAAGCUGCACAUGUAUAUAUAUAUAUGUGUGUCAGUAACUUAUCAAUUACACUUAUAAGUCAAUGGACACAACAGAGUAAAGACCCUCACCUGAAGUUGUAUGGAAACAGUAUGUGGUCACAGAAAUUUUGAUCUGUUAGAAACCUUAGAAGGUUUUCCUCCGUCUCCUUGGGUUUAUCAGUUAGCGUCGCUAUAUGUAUUUUAUCUGGGUCAAUAAACCCAAUAUUUAGGAUGUUCUUACUUUUACAAUCCAGAAUCUUCAUUCUGCAUAAUAGAGUACAAGUUAUAUAUAGACAAUGUAUUGAAAUAACUAAACAAGUUAUAUGUAGACAACGAAUUGAAAAACUUACAGACAAUAGCAACUCAUAAGCGAUUUGUCGAGGGCGUCGCCAUUGUACAUAUGGAAGAGUUCAUCAAAGUCGAUAUGGAUUUCUUCGGGGCGGCCGUAGUACUCCCGUGGGACACUCACCACGAUCAUCGUUCUCCCAUUCUUUGAUUCACUUAAGUACCAUGUAUGCAAGUAACGCAUAUUUGUUGGGAGAUCAUCUUUGCUGACCAAAGGCUCUCCCAUGACAAACUGUGGCUUAGGGGCUACCACAGCCUUGGGUAACCUGUCGUCUUGGGAAGCCAGAACAUCUUCAACCGAGACACCCCAUUCAGCCGCCCACUUCUUUGCUAAUUCAAAAUCUUGCCCCUGCACCGGAGGGGGAACAUUCUUGGUUAACACCUUGAGGGGUGGGAUCGACUGUUUGGCAUGUUGUCCAAGCUGAGGAACGUGUGAUUUUUUCUUGCUUGUAUUUGAACUUGAUUUGCUCCCACUUGCACUUGCAUGUGAUCUGCUCUUUUUCACUUCCUUCUGCAAUGUGCGUGUAUAGUCAUCAGGCUUAUGGUGUAAGUCAUACUGUGAUGGAAGGGUCGUGAAGUAUUUCGCAAAUGCUAAUUGCUUCUCGGUGUAUUCCGGGCGGGGCUCGGGUUCCUUCUUUUUCAUCUACGCAUCAUGAUGUUCCUUUGCUAUCCUGGCGUUUUCUCGGGGGUACGAUCAUAAGGUCUGAUUGGAAGAUUAGCAUGAGGUACCUUUGGGAGGGGCGACCGUUUGCGCUUUGGGGGGCUCCGUCGCCUAGAAAUCGUCGGCGGAGCGUUCUUGGUGGCACGCUCCCGCUUAGUAUCCGGAGCGGGCGGCGGCGGAGACGGACGACCCAAGUCCGGCGGCGGUGAUCGAGAUGGCCUCGUGUUGUGCUCGCCGACGUCAUGUGGAGGGCUUGGAGGUAAUGGAGGUGUAGGUGACCUGCGACGACUCGGAGGCGGUGUUGUCCUUGGGGCCGAGCCUGGAAGCUUGAUGUAGUUCUUGUCCCAUAGGAUGACUCCACCCAGUACUUCUCCGAGUGUCCUCUCAUCUUCGGGUCCAGCUAUGUCGAGCUCCAUAUCAUGAAACCCCGUCAUGAUUUCAUCCACCCCGACUUUAGCAAAGCCAGCUGGAAUCUCACGGCCAUGCCAGCGUGCAUCAGGGCCAGAAGGUAAAGCUUAUCCGACGGCCACCUUCUUGAAUUUCUUGUCCAAGCCACCACGGGUAAGAAGGACCGAAGCCUCGUGUUCGUCCUCCAUGUUCGUCAUUGCUGAGGACCAGUGUGAGCAAAUCUUUCUCUCUAUCUGCAGUGAACUUUCUUUUUCCCUCCUUAAUUUCUUUCACUAUCCUUUUCCGAUUCUCCCUGGGUAUCCUAAGACCGUCACUGCAGAUGAGGUCCCCUGUUUCUUCGUCGUACGAACCACCAUGCGCAAGGAACCAAUUUCUUGCUCUCAAUUCCCACUCAUCACGGAGUGGUUCAGGUACGAUGCCUUUAGCUAGCAGAUCUUGCUCUUUCUUAUCCCACUUUGGGAUGGCAGUCUCAUAGCCCCCUGGCCCCAGCUUGUGGUGAUAUUUCUUCUUGUCGGCAUUUAUCUUGUUCUUUUCUGAUAAUUCCUGGGCAUCUUCUGACUCCUUGUACUCUUGAAAUGCCUUCCAAUGAUUCGCCUGCUUGGCUAGAUACCCCUUGAAUACUGGCACUUUCUUUGUCUUCAUAUAGUUUUUCCAUAGCUUCUUCUUCCAGCUACGAAACAGUUCGGCUAUCUUCUUUAGAGUCCAAUGCUUGACUUUGGCCCUUAGUUUGUCUGCGGUGUCUUCAUUCUCAUAUUCUGGCAGGUUGAAAUGUGACAUGAGAUAAUUCCAAAGAUUAUCUUUGUACCUUUUGGCGACAUAGUCACUAUCGGCUGCCCCUUUGUGCUUGUUCCACUCCCGAACGCUGAUCGGGACGUGAGCCCUAACGAGAACUCCACAUUGCUUCUUGAAUGUGUCAGCAGCAUUCUUAGGAAGCUUGGGUUCGCCCGUAGGCAAUAUCACCUCAAAGGCGUCCGUGCAUCCAACUUUCUAGUCGGGCCUCGUUUCGUAGCUUUGCUCGAUGUGGAGGCCUAAGAGGGAGAAACAUUCGUCAAAUGAAUGUAUAUGUAUACAAUAUAGAGCUAUCUCCAAUAUUUUUCACAUAUUACAAGUGAUUGUCGAACUUCAUAUGUAUACCUCACCGGACUUUAUUAUUUCUCCACCGGCUUCUCCAUCAGUGGAGCUAUCACCUUCUCCGUCAUUGGACCUAUCUCUUGCCCCAUCGGCUUCAUCUUCGUGUCGGUCGACCUCCAUUCCAUAUCCGGAGGGGUUUAGAUAUGACGACGGAGAUUCAGCUGGUUCAUCGUCAGGGCCGUCUUUGAUUAUAUAUUCGAGAAGUUCUUCCUCUUCGAGGUUCCUGAUAUGUGGAUCCAUAGUUCUGCAAAAAACGGAUUGCGACGCUCCCUAGUGGUGGCUAACAAACUAUAUAAGAGGGGUUGGAAACUUCGAAGUGUCGUUUUAUAUAGGAGGACCUUUAGUCCCGGGUCUUGGCUAGAACCUAAACUCUAAAAUAUGUCUAACAGGUUCUCUUAACCUUUAAGGAUUUAACAAAAUGGCGACAUUCUAGAUGUGUAGAAAAUGAUCCUAUUUUUCCUGAUCUCAUCUACCCUUCUAUAUGUCACAUUGUCUAGUGUCAAAGGACUUUGUUGAACUUUGUACCAAAAAAUAAUUAUUCUAUCAGGAACUCCGUUCCAAAACAACUUUAGUCCCGGGUCGUGGCUCCACCCAGGACUCCUAGAUUUCUGCAUAGUAUUCAAAGUAGGAGUACUUUUCCAAUUUAAGCAUUCAAUAAGCAAAACCAAAUCGUAAAAUAAAGUAGUAUUCAAAUUAGCAUGCAUUCAAUUAUAAGCAAAACUACAUCAUCUCUUUUGUCCGUACAUCGUCGAAUAUUAUCACUAAUACUCCUCGAAUACUAUCAUACAUAUAGCAUCACUGAUACAGCUAGAACCGUAGCGCCCGACGGGUAUCGUCGCGGGCGGUGGACACCCAAAGAGAAGGAACCAUCACAGGAUCAUAGCUCCAGUGAGAUCCGUGAAGAACCUGCCAGGUAUGCUCGAACCUGCCCUCCAACGCAACCAUGUAGCGACGGACGUGCUCAUCCUCCUCUCUGACACGGUGACGUACCACCUCUGCGGUGUCCGGAAGCCUCGGCACCGUCACUGGCCCACGCGACCGCCACCAAACAAGGAUCGGGUCAACAACGGGCUGGCUCCUCACCAACCUACGCCCCUCGGAAGGUAGCACCUCCCAAUACCAGCCGGGCGGAGCCCAAUCCCGGACAUGGCCCCUCUGAUCAAGCACGUGUCCUCCGCCAAGUCGACGACGAGGAUGCUGGAUAGGCAUCUAAAAUGAACUAAAAAAAUAAACUAGUUCUAUUAAUUUUCUUGCUAAAAAUAAAAUAAUUGUAUAUAUAGUAAAAUAAACUAUUAACACUUAAGCAUAUACAAUAGCAAAAUUAAGCAAUAAUCUAAGAAACACUAAUUAAGCAUCUAUAUACGUAGAAAUGUCUUCUUCUUGUUCUUCUUCUUUCUUAUUUUCUUCUCCGCUUCUUCUUCAACUUCUCUUCUUCUACUUCUCUUCUUCUACUUCUCCUCUUCUUCUAUUUUUCGUCUUCUUCUCCUCUCCUCCUCUUCUUAUUCUCCUUUUUCUUCUUUUCUUCUCCUCCUCUUCUUAUUUUCCUUUUUCCUAAUCUUAUUUUCUUAUUUUUGUUCAUCUUUCUUCUUCUUGUAACCCUAACCUAAUUCUAAAUAUUACGAACCCUAAUAAUCUAGCACAAACCUAAUAACAAUAGGAAUUAAAUAACAAAAAAAAUCAUUUCUUCUCCUUUUUCUUCUUUUCUUCUCCUUUCCCUUCUUUUCUUCUCCUUUUUCUUCUUUUCUUCUACCGGCCGGAGUGUUGGGGAGGAGGGGGCUAGGGGCUUACCGGCCGGAGUGGGAGGGGAGGGCAUCGACGACGGCGAGGAGGACGGCAGGCGGCAGCGAGGAGGACGGCGGCGGCGAGGAGGACCACGGCGAAGGCGAGGAGGACGGCGGGCAGCCUGGCGGCGUCGAGUUCGUCGGUGCCGCGCCGGGCAGGAGAGUCUGAGGAAGAAGAACGAAAUGGCGAUUUGGGUUGGAAAUUUCCAACUCCCGCUUAUAUAGUAGGAUCUUUGGUCCCGGUUCGGGGCUCGAACCGGGACUAAAGACCACCUUUAGUCCCGGGUGGAGCCANNNNNNNNNNNNNNNNNNNNNNNNNNNNNNNNNNNNNNNNNNNNNNNNNNNNNNNNNNNNNNNNNNNNNNNNNNNNNNNNNNNNNNNNNNNNNNNNNNNNNNNNNNNNNNNNNNNNNNNNNNNNNNNNNNNNNNNNNNNNNNNNNNNNNNNNNNNNNNNNNNNNNNNNNNNNNNNNNNNNNNNNNNNNNNNNNNNNNNNNNNNNNNNNNNNNNNNNNNNNNNNNNNNNNNNNNNNNNNNNNNNNNNNNNNNNNNNNNNNNNNNNNNNNNNNNNNNNNNNNNNNNNNNNNNNNNNNNNNNNNNNNNNNNNNNNNNNNNNNNNNNNNNNNNNNNNNNNNNNNNNNNNNNNNNNNNNNNNNNNNNNNNNNNNNNNNNNNNNNNNNNNNNNNNNNNNNNNNNNNNNNNNNNNNNNNNNNNNNNNNNNNNNNNNNNNNNNNNNNNNNNNNNNNNNNNNNNNNNNNNNNNNNNNNNNNNNNNNNNNNNNNNNNNNNNNNNNNNNNNNNNNNNNNNNNNNNNNNNNNNNNNNNNNNNNNNNNNNNNNNNNNNNNNNNNNNNNNNNNNNNNNNNNNNNNNNNNNNNNNNNNNNNNNNNNNNNNNNNNNNNNNNNNNNNNNNNNNNNNNNNNNNNNNNNNNNNNNNNNNNNNNNNNNNNNNNNNNNNNNNNNNNNNNNNNNNNNNNNNNNNNNNNNNNNNNNNNNNNNNNNNNNNNNNNNNNNNNNNNNNNNNNNNNNNNNNNNNNNNNNNNNNNNNNNNNNNNNNNNNNNNNNNNNNNNNNNNNNNNNNNNNNNNNNNNNNNNNNNNNNNNNNNNNNNNNNNNNNNNNNNNNNNNNNNNNNNNNNNNNNNNNNNNNNNNNNNNNNNNNNNNNNNNNNNNNNNNNNNNNNNNNNNNNNNNNNNNNNNNNNNNNNNNNNNNNNNNNNNNNNNNNNNNNNNNNNNNNNNNNNNNNNNNNNNNNNNNNNNNNNNNNNNNNNNNNNNNNNNNNNNNNNNNNNNNNNNNNNNNNNNNNNNNNNNNNNNNNNNNNNNNNNNNNNNNNNNNNNNNNNNNNNNNNNNNNNNNNNNNNNNNNNNNNNNNNNNNNNNNNNNNNNNNNNNNNNNNNNNNNNNNNNNNNNNNNNNNNNNNNNNNNNNNNNNNNNNNNNNNNNNNNNNNNNNNNNNNNNNNNNNNNNNNNNNNNNNNNNNNNNNNNNNNNNNNNNNNNNNNNNNNNNNNNNNNNNNNNNNNNNNNNNNNNNNNNNNNNNNNNNNNNNNNNNNNNNNNNNNNNNNNNNNNNNNNNNNNNNNNNNNNNNNNNNNNNNNNNNNNNNNNNNNNNNNNNNNNNNNNNNNNNNNNNNNNNNNNNNNNNNNNNNNNNNNNNNNNNNNNNNNNNNNNNNNNNNNNNNNNNNNNNNNNNNNNNNNNNNNNNNNNNNNNNNNNNNNNNNNNNNNNNNNNNNNNNNNNNNNNNNNNNNNNNNNNNNNNNNNNNNNNNNNNNNNNNNNNNNNNNNNNNNNNNNNNNNNNNNNNNNNNNNNNNNNNNNNNNNNNNNNNNNNNNNNNNNNNNNNNNNNNNNNNNNNNNNNNNNNNNNNNNNNNNNNNNNNNNNNNNNNNNNNNNNNNNNNNNNNNNNNNNNNNNNNNNNNNNNNNNNNNNNNNNNNNNNNNNNNNNNNNNNNNNNNNNNNNNNNNNNNNNNNNNNNNNNNNNNNNNNNNNNNNNNNNNNNNNNNNNNNNNNNNNNNNNNNNNNNNNNNNNNNNNNNNNNNNNNNNNNNNNNNNNNNNNNNNNNNNNNNNNNNNNNNNNNNNNNNNNNNNNNNNNNNNNNNNNNNNNNNNNNNNNNNNNNNNNNNNNNNNNNNNNNNNNNNNNNNNNNNNNNNNNNNNNNNNNNNNNNNNNNNNNNNNNNNNNNNNNNNNNNNNNNNNNNNNNNNNNNNNNNNNNNNNNNNNNNNNNNNNNNNNNNNNNNNNNNNNNCCGCAUAGCAUGUGUUAAAAAGUUGAGAGGGCUACGACAAAAACUGGAUGCAUUUCGUGUACAAAACGGACAAUCUCUCUCGAAGUAUGAGGGUUUCGAACGAGAACUCAUCUCUUACAAAGGGAUUUCAUUUUUUUGAACUUAUUUAAACUCCAUACUUUUUGUGUGUUUAAAAUGCACCAUUCAAAGGCACAUCACAAAUUUUCAACAAUUUCUGACUUAAUUUGGUAUUUUUCGUGCAUUUACUUUUGUUUUUUUGGGCUAGUUGACCCUAAAAUUGAAAAGCACUACAAAUGAACUCUGAAAAUAUUGAAAGUUGGCAUGCUAUCAUCAUUUCACCCACAUAGCAUGUGUUAAAAAGUUGAGAGGGCUACAACAAAACCGGAUGCACUUCGUGUACAAAACGGACAAUCUCUCUCAAAGUAUCACGGUUUCGAACGAGAACUCAUCUCUUACAAAGGGAUUUCAUUUUUUUGAACUUAUUUGAACUCCAUACUUUUUCUGUGUUCAAAAUGCACCAUUUAAAGGCACAUCAAUUGAAAACUAAAAGGUUUAGUACAUUCCAUACAUGCAUUACAUAAAAGGUUUGAUACAUUAUUACAUUAUUGCACCAAUAUUCCUAUCUAUUAUUUAUGUUUUCUUCUGGGUUGUAGCCAUGGAGAAUCUUCAUCAUUCAGUAGGAUGCUUGGGUCAAUUUUCACUUUGAAGGGCGGAAUUUCAUGAAACUUAUUAUAAUCUUCUGACAUGUCUGUCUUGUCAUCUAAUCCCACGAUGUUUCUUUUCCCUGAAAGAACUAUGUGGCGUUUUGGCUCAUCGGAAGAUAUCUUCUUUUGCUGAUUUCUUUUUCUCGUUUUUGUAGACAUGUCCUUCACAUAGAAAACUUGAGCGACAUCAUUGGCUAGGACAAAUGGUUCGUCCAUGUACGCAAGAUUGUUGAGAUCCACUGUUGUCAUGCCGUACUUUUGGUCUACAACUACCCCGCCUCCUGUCAGCUUCACCAAUUUGCACCGAAACAAAGGGAUCUUAAAAGUAGGUCCAUAGUCAAGUUCCCAUAUCUCCUCUAUGUACCCGUAAUAUGUUUCCAAACAGUGCCCAUUCUCGUCUGUUGCAUCAAAGCGGACACCACUAUUUUGGUUGGUGUUCUUUUUAUCUUGGGCAACCGUGUAAAAUGUAUUCCCAUUUAUCUCAUACCCUUGGAAAGUACAUAUAGUCGAAGAUGGUGGCCUGGCCAAACAGUACAACUCAUCUCCAACGGUGUCGUCAUUCAUGAGAUGUGUCUGCAACCAACUGCCGAAAGUCUUCUCAUGUUCCCUUUAAUCCAAGAGUCAGCCUUCCCCGGGUUUUCGGAGCGUAGAAUAUUCUUGUGUCUCACGAUAUACGGAGCCACCACGAUGGAAUUGUGUAGAACUGCGUAGUGUGCUUGAGAGAAAGAAUGCCCAUCCAUACAUACUUCUGCUUUCCUUCCUAGUGUGCCUUUUCCUGUCAGCCUACCCUCAUAACGAGAUUCAGGAACACCAAUCGGCUUAAGGUCAGGAAGAAAGUCCACACAAAACUCAAUGACCUCCUCUGUUCCAUAGCCCUUGGAGAUGCUUCCUUCUGGCCUAGCACGGUUACGAACAUAUUUCUUUAAGACUCCCAUCAACCUCUCGAAGGGGAACAUAUUGUGUAGAAACACAGGACCGAGAAUUCUAAUCUCUUCGACUAGGUGAACUAGGAGGUGUGUUAUUAUAUUGAAGAAGGAUGGCGGGAACAACAACUCAAAGCUGACCAGACAUUGGAUCACAUCAAUCUAUAACCCUAAUAGACUUUCUCGAUCGAUUACCUUCUGAGAAAUUGCAUUGAGGAAUGCACAUACCUUCACAAUUGCCAGGCGAACAUUUUCCGGUAGAAUUCCCUCAAUGCAACCGGAAGCAAUUGCGUCAUAAGCACGUGGCAGUCAUGAGACUUUAGGUUUUGGAAUUUUUUGUCUUUCAUAUUUACGAUUCCCUUUAUAUUCGACGAGAAGCCAGUCGGGACCUUGAUACUGAAAAGGACUUCAAAGAAGAUUUCCUUCUCUUCCUUAGUAAGAGCGUAGCUGGCACGCCCUUGAAACUGCCCUGGAUGCAUGCCAUCUGUUCCUUUAUGACUUUCCUGGUCCUCCCGUGCUUCCGGUGUAUCUUUUGACUUCCCAUACAAGCCCAGGAAGCCUAGAAUAUUCACGUAGAGAUUCUUCGUCAGGUGCAUCACGUCGAUUGCCGAGCGGACCUCAUGGACUUCCCAGUAGGGUAGCUCCCAAAAUAUAGAUUUCUUCUUCCACAUGGGUACGCGCUUAUCAGGGCCGUUAGGAACAGGUUGGCUGCCAGGACCCUUUCCAAAGAUUACUUUUAAAUCUUUGACCAUAUCAAAUACUUCAGCACUAGUACGGAUGACAGGCUUCCCCCGAGGUUCUGCCUUGCCAUUGAAAUGCUUGCCUUUUUUCUUUAAGGGAUGAUUGGGCGGAAGAAAACGACGAUUGUACGGGUACACAUUCUUCCUACAUUUGUCCAGAUAUAUACUUUCUGUCUGAUCCAAACAGUGCGUGCAUGUAUUGUAUCCCUUGUUUGACUGUCCUGAAAUGUUACUAAGAGCAGGCCAAUCAUUGAUGGUUACGAAAAGCAACGCUCGAAGGUCAAAUUCCUCUUGUUUGUGCUCGUCCCACACACGUACACCUGGUUCGGCCCACAGCUGUAAAAGUUCAUCAACUAAUGGCCUUAGGUACACAUCAAUAUCGUUGCCGGGUUGCUUCGGACCUUGGAUAAGCACUGGCAUCAUAAUGAACUUCCGCUUCAUGCACAACCAAGGAGGAAGGUUGUAGAUACAUAGAGUAACGGGCCAGGUGGUGUGACUGCAACUCUGCUCCCCAAAAGGAUUCAUGCCAUCUGUACUCAAACCUAACCAUAAGUUCCUUGCGUCAGCUGCAAAUCUCGGGAACUCUCUCUUGAUUUUUCUCCACUGCCGACCAUCAGCGGUGUGCCUCAACUUAUCGUCUUUCAUACGAUCUUCCAUGUGCCAUCGCAACAACUUCGCAUGAUCUUUAUUUCUGAACAGACCUUUCAGCCGUGGUAUUAUAGGAGCAUACCACAUCACCUUGGCAGGAACCCUCUUCAUGGGUGGCUCGCCCUCAAUAUCACCAGGGUCAUCUUUUCUGAUCUUAUACCGCAAUGCAGUGCAUACCGGGCAUUUAUCCAUAUUCUCGUACUUCUCACCGCGGUAGAGGAUGCAGUCAUUAGGGCAUGCAUGUAUCUUCUGCACGUCUAAUCCUAGAGGGCAGACAAGCUUCUUUGCUUCGUACGUGCUGGCGGGCAAUUCGUUCUUUCUUGGAAGCAUCUUCUUCAUCAGUACCAGCAUCUUUUCGAAUGACGAGUCAGUCACACCGGUCUCUGCCUUCCACUUCAGCAAUUCCAGUGUGCUACCCAGCUUGUUCUGGCCAUCUUCACAAGUUGGGUACAACAAUUUGUUGUGGUCCUGUAACAUCUGCUCGAACUGCAACCUCUCCUUUUCUGUGUCGCAACCUCGCCGUGCAUCAGAAAUGACCCGGCCAAGAUCAUCAGCGGGCUCAUCUGGUUCCCAUUCUUCAUCCUGAUCUUCUUCUUCAUUGUCUUCCAUUGCGGUAUCAGCAUACUCAGGGAACAUAGAUCGGUAGUUGUCAUCAUCGUUCUCUUCUUCUUCAUCGUCGUCUUCCAUCAUAACCCCUCUUUCUCCGUGCUUGGUCCAAACAUUAUAGCCCGACAUAAAACCGGACCAAAGCAGGUGGCUCUGAAUGACUCCUGAGGAAGUGUAAUCCUUCUCAUUCCGACAUUCAACACAUGGACAAAACAUAUAGCCACCACCAUGCUUGUUCGCAUCGGCUGCAUCUCGAAAAGAAUGCACGCCUUCUCUGUAAGCGGCUGUGCGUCGAUGAUCGUACAUCCAUGGAUGGCUCAUCUGCGUUAUACGACAGUACAUCAAAUACAAUCACGAUCCUAAAAAUUAGUACUGCACGGUCUAAACGAGGAAAUAUAGUUGCUAACCUUUUAGAAUAAGUAGAAAUAAAGAGGAAGAGGUUUAAGCGUGGCUCGGGUAUCUCAUAUCGUAGUUGUGUUCGGUGAACUGAAGCGGCAUCGCUCUAACACACAUUUCAACAAACACCUCUAGUGCAUAAAAAAAUGGAGAGCUAGCACGCACCCACACUCUUCCAUCCAAGAAAAAUGCAAGGAAGAGGGGAGAGGGGGGAUGUGCUAUAUAUAGGCAGAGGACUUUAGUCCCAGUUUGAGACACAAACCGGGACUAAAGGUGGCGCACAUGCGGGCUGCACAUCGCGUAGCCCUUUAGUCCCGGUUUGAGACACAAACCGGGACUAAAGGCUCCAUACGGGCCGGGACCAAAGCCUCGUAGGCGGCAUUGCGAUUUGGGGCGACGUGGCCGGGCCUUUAGUCCCGGUCCAGAGGGAGGCCGGGACUAAAGGGUCCAGGCCAAAGGCCCGUUUUCCACUAGUGCUACCUCAUGAUUAAUCCUAAAUCAAUUCUAAUCAAGAGGUGUUUGGAUGUAGAUUGACAAUAGACGCAUUUGAUGGAGAGAGAAAAAUGAUUUUUUCACUGGACCUCAUCAGAACUGCCUUCAAUUAGCAUCUCUUGGCUAGUGGGAUAGAGAGAGAAAACUGAUUUUUCAGUGGCAUCAUAAGAACUAGCUCCAAUUAACACCUCUAGGGUGGAAUAGUAUUUUAGGAUGGAUUAGAUGCAACUAGUUCUAAUCUAACCCUCAUGUUUGGAUAUUUUAGGGAUAUUUAAGCCCUAACUAGCUUAAACUAACUCUAGCCUAUGGAUCCAAACAAAACCUUUGAAUCGUGGACAUGUUCUGUUGUGUGCACAUAUCGCAAAGUUAACGACACAACGAUGGCAGUCCUGUGGCAGUGGCGCGCAGCGAACCAUGGCUCCGACGUUGUUCAGGCCACAUGACGGUUGCCCACAGGAAACGGCACCACAACAUGUUCUUUCCUCCCCUUCUUAUCCUGAACAAGAAUUUAGAGCCAUAGAUGUCGUCGUCAAGCGGCUAUGUGGUUCCCCUGGCCGGAGAUUGCAGCUCUCCUGUAAAUUCAGAUCACCUCUCGUCUCCUGAACCCACAGAGGUAGGACGGGCGACACAAGUUGUUGGCUGCAUCUCCGAGAGGGAGGCAUGUUGGCGAACAUGUUGGUAUCCUCCAAUCUCUCACAUGAAUAAUUAAGUACAAAGACUGGUUGCUAACUAGCUAGCUCAUUGAAAUGCACCCAGGUAGGAGAUGAAAUCACUCCACUAUAUAGAAGUUUUGCUCCCACAACAACGAAUGACACAAAUAUAAGCAUGGUGUAACAACUCAACUACUCAAGAUACAUACGAGCAUGAUAAAGUCUAAACUGCGUGAGCACAUCACACAAAAACCGUUUUCCACAAAAGCCAUUAUAUAUGAUUCUAUUGAGAAAUUAAUCCCCUUUUUAUGCAGGGUGAAACUAGUCAUCCUCUUCUUUAAUGAAUGAUGGACUUAACUAGAAAGCGGCGCCGCAUAUUAGUCUUUUCAUACGACAAUUCCCUUUCAUCCAUUUUUACUUGCAUGGGACAUUACAUCAUUUAAGUAUUCCCUUUGAUUUUGCAUUUUUUUAAAAUAUCUCCCAAACCUUUGUCUAAAUUAAUGAUUCGUUUUCAUCACUAACUUUAUCGCGACGAGAUCUUUAAAACUAGAUCCUAUGUCGACAUGUUUCGAUAACUUUUGUUUUCGUCGGUACUUGUCAAAUUAUUAUCACUUACUUGUCACAUUAUUUGUCACAUAGUUCUCACAUUAAAUCAACUUGGUUAUCAGGUUUAUGAAUGUCGAUAUACCCCAUUAAAAAACUUGAUUCAUUAUACUUGUGUUGGUUCAUGCAUUUACUUGCUUAUUGUUAGUGCUUUAGUAAUCAUUCUUUAGCUCCACAUAACACUGCAAUACUUAAAAAGUUUAAAAUUAUUAUCCCGGUGACUAUUUAUAAUUUUUGGGACAAUGGUACAUCCAUAAGAUGAUAACUAUGAUGACAUAAAUGUGGCAACUAAGAACGACGAAACAUGUCAACAUGGGAUCUUAUUUUAAAGGUCUCGUCGGGACGAACCUAACGAUGAAGGAGAAUCUCCAAUCAAAUUAAUAAUCUAUGAGAUAAAUAAUUUUGAAAAAUUUAAAAAACAUUUAUUACGAUGAUGUAAUCAUGCGAUAGAAGAUUCUUGCAUACGCAUGAAGCUGUGUAAGCCGCCACAUGGAAGAGCUAUGUUGCGGCGCUUUUUCUUAGAUUUUUCCCAUGAAUGAUAUGCGCACUUGCGUACUUGAGAAACUAGUCAUCCCAACUUUCACCAUGCGUGUCACUUAAACUAGUCAUCCCAAUUUCCUAACAUGUGUGUCACCCCCCUCUUUUAUUUCCCCUUUGCUUUCGUUUCCUUCAAUUGCAGGAUAAAAUUGUUUGCAAGAUCAAAAGUGUGGCGAGGACUUGACACUCGGCUGGUACAUCCUUAAAGAUUUUUAUCCCAGGAGAGUAGGCUUAUCUUCAUGCAAAUGCCACCUUGUUUAAAUUCUUGAAACACCUUUUUAUUCUUAUUGGCCUAAACAUUUGAAAUAUCUAACAUAAAUAUCGUACGUUGUGUUGCGGUAUAGACUGAAAGAAUACCCUUUCGUAUUUGUUCUUGCAAGUUCUAUAAAUAUACAUACAAGAUAUGCACAUACAAGAGGUAAAAUACUUUAGCUCUCUGCGUAUAUCCUCAAGCAGUUAAGCUCUACUAGUGGAUAUGGUAACACCGUAUGUACACAAACCAGCAUGUACACAAUUCAUCAGGCAUGCUACUUGUGCAGGAACAGGUCGGCCUCAUAGACGAGGGACUCGAUCCGGCGUGGGGGUUCUGGCGGGUGUCAUGAGGCAGUACCAGCACACCAUCCUAAACACGCCGGUGCCGCCACCACAACGCGCUCGUUGGUGCUCUUGAAGCCCGACACACCCCCCUGCAUGGCCAGCAUGCUCUCAUGGGGCGCUCCCCUGCCAUGAAGACGAGGUUGAUCGUCAUUGCACCUAGCGGGCUCACAGGCCCCGCACCGAUCAAGAAGCCCUAGCACCGCUGCCGAUGAGCGAGGAGUUUCUCGGUCCGGACCGUUGCGCAGCUGGUCGCGAGCACGUACGCCGCCCGUUCUGAUUAUUACUAUUAUAUUAUUAUUAUUACAAAUUGGAUUUGGUUUAUACAUUUGUCUGAUAAAUUAUGGGCCAUAAUUCUUUUCAAUUUGGGAGUCCCAAAUGAUUCAAGGGAACUGAAAGAGGGGGAUUUGAACCCUUACAUAGGCGCCCAGCGGGAAUAACACCGCGGUGAGGGCCGUGGCGUUUGGGCGUGUACAGGUGGAUUUGGUCUUGCAAUGGAAGGUAACCUGAAGUACUGGAUGAAAGCAAACAAAAAGUAGGAAGGGGUGAUAUGCAUGCUGUCAAAUUGUGAUGAUUAACUUCUGAGAACUAAUAAUGAUGUCUUUUAUGCAGAACAAAUUGUUUGAUGUCUUCAUGCAAUAUGGACUUUGUCAUGCGUAUCGAGUUCCUUUAUGCUCAUACCUAUAUGUACGCAUCACUCAUUGUUGCGGGACAAAAGCUUCUAUAUAUACCUUCAACACUGAUUUCAUUUGCUAGUUGAGUGUGUGUCAACAACCUUUUGUGCUUAGUUAUUCUCCGCCAUGUUAUCAUUCAUUAGUACUGGUAUGCUACCAGUGUUUGAUAUGUGAGAGAUUGGAGGAUACCAAGGCAAGCUUGUUUCUCUUCGAGAAGCAAGCAACACGUUGGAUUGUUGUGUCUACCUCUGCAACGCAAUAGUGCUACUCGAAGUGCCAACUUUUUCAGCGAAGGGAACCGCAUAUGUAUGUAAUAAAUUCACAUCAUGCACCACAGCGGGCGGUCAUGUAGCACGAACUAUUGAUCCUAGUUUAGAUUCAUGGGUUAGAAUUAAAGUUUGUUAGAUUGGACCGACCUAACCAUAAAACAUCCAAACAGGAGGGUUAGAGUUGGUUAGAUGCAUCUAACCCACCCAAAAAAACUAAUCCAUCCAAGAGAUGCUUAUUUGAGUUAGAGUUACGUGGGGUCCAGAAAAAAUUACUUUUUUCUUUACCUCCAUCACAUCCUAGAUAAAGGAGCCAAAUGAUUAGGAAAAUGCAUUUACUGACAAUCUAACUCUUUCAUCCGAACAUCUUUUUGAUUAGAGUUAAUUUAGGAUUAAUCUAGAGUUAGAAUCUAACUUUAACCUUUAAUCAAAUUAGAGUAUUCAAACAGGCCAUUGACAUUAGUCAUUCAUGUUGAAACAAUUAAUAACCGAGCCGACGUUGGGCCAAUGUUUGCCGCGUAACUACAACAGCCAGUGUCUAAUUAAUGUUAGAGAAAGGAAAGGUUUGGGUGUGCUCGUUUGUAUAGUUCCACUGUACCUGCCCCUUUUAUGGUGUAAUUUUAUAAUCACAACCUUCAAAUAGAUUGUUUGACUUUGCAUAGACAAGCAAUACCCUAUGUCCUCGCGCAUAUAUACAUGUGCCCUGCCGUUUUUCUCUGUUAUCUUAUAAAUUGUAGUUGGUGGUGGUAGGGGCGAGUUCACCCUCCCCACUCCAUCCAAAUCACCACAUCCAUCCAGGUUCUAUUUGAUCCUUUCCGAUCCAACAGGCCACGGCCUCACUUAAAUUCUACUCCCUCCGUUCCAAAAUUCUUGUUUUAGGUUUGUUUAGAAAUGAGUGUAUCUAAAUACUACAAUUCUUAUUCACGGGAAAGCCAACCGAAAGAUUCGAUUCGGACUUCGUAGAGCCGGUGCUGCUGCUGUCUGCGUAGGGCCGUCCCCCACUCCCGUCCCGGGACGCUAAGGGGUUUUGUUUUAGGAACAGACGGCGGUGUUUUGCUGACGCCUCGAAUCGACGCUUUUGUUGCGACAUGCUAAGUUUUCUCCCCUAUUGCUAGUAGGUUGAUGGGUCGCACGCCCGGCACACAUGUUUUGGCCUUGCUUGUGUGUCCAGAACUCAAAAUAGGUGACCUAACGGCCGCCGCCCGACUAAACAUAUCAAUAGUCACCAAAUUCAUAUGGGCUACUGAGGAGUUGGCAAUGAUCUUCUUAAGAUCGAUCUGUCUUAAAGUGGUCAAGGAAGUAUAUAUUAUAGCAAUCGCGCUUAGAGUAUAAAUGAAAGGAGUGAAACAAAGUGUCGCUUCGGGAAACAUGGGUAUUGAAAAUCUUAAAAACCCGUAGGUUCCCAAUUUUAAAAGAAUUCCAGCCAAGAUGACGGAUCCAGCCGUAGGUGCCUCUACAUGGGCUUCGGGUAACCAAAUAUGAACUGGUACCAUAGGCACUUUGACGGCAAAAGAGGCGAAAAAAGCAAUCCAUAGAAGGAUUUGGCGCCGCUCACUAGAUUCAGUGGUUAAUAACAUUUGUAAAUCGGUGGUUCCUGUUUGGAGAAGAAUCAACAGAAUAGCUAAUAGCAUAAAAACGGAUCCAAGUAAAGUAUAUAGAAAAAACUGAUAUGUUGCCUUGAUCUUUCUUUGUCUCGAACCCCAUACCCCUACAAUGAUGGUAGAGUCAGGGGUGGCCCCAAAGCGGAAUUGACCGGUGGUAGUUGGUCGUGUUGGAAAUAUGCCCUAGAGGCAAUAAUAAAUUAGUUNNNNNNNNNNNNNNNNNNNNNNNNNNNNNNNNNNNNNNNNNNNNNNNNNNNNNNNNNNNNNNNNNNNNNNNNNNNNNNNNNNNNNNNNNNNNNNNNNNNNCACAUGGAAGGUUACAAGAAAGGAAAGUCUACACUUGGGGCAUUACAAACUCUCCCACACUACAAAGAAGAUCUCGACCCCGAGAUCUAAGACUGAAAGAAUUCGGGAAAUUCGGAACGGAGGUGAUCCUCGCGUUCCCACGUAGCCUCUUUAUCGGAAUGGUGUGACCACUGCACUUUGAGGAACUUGACAGACUUGUUACGGGUCUUGCACUCAGUCGCCUCGAGAACCGCAACUGGAUGCUCGCGAUAAGAGAGGUCAGGCUGGAGAUCGAUAUCCUGAAGAUGCACAGUGCGCUCGGGGUUCUUGAAACACCUCCGAAGCUGAGAAACAUGGAACACGUCAUGGACAUUUGCAAAGGUUGACGGAAGCUCGAGCUGGUACGCGAGGUCGCCCCUCUUGCCAACCACUCUGAACGGACCAACGAAACGAGGCGCAAGCUUGCCUUUGAUGCCAAAACGCUACAUACCCUUCAUAGGCGACACCUUAAGGUAGACAAAAUCAUCAAGCUCAUACGACAUGUCACGGUGCUUGCUAUCGUAAUAGCUCUUCUGCCGAGACUGCGCUGCUCUGAGGUUGUCGCGAAUGAUCCGACACAUCUCCUCAGCCUCUUCUAUCAUAUCAUUGCCAAGGAUCUGACGCUCGCCUGUCUGGGACCAGUUGAGCGGAGUACGGCACUUCCUGCCAUAGAGAAUCUCAAACGGAGCCUUGCCAGAGCUAGCUUGAUAACUGUUGUUAUACGAGAACACCGCGAAAGGCAGACAAUCCUCCCACUUCAUGCCAAAGGAGAUAACACAUGCUCUCAGCAUGUCCUCAAGAACUUGAUUCACUCUCUCCACUUGACCACUAGACUGAGGAUGGAACGCUGUGCUGAAGCGGAUCUUCGUGCCCAUAGCAGACUGAAAAGAGUCCCAGAACUUGGAAGUGAAGAUACUCCCACGAUCUGAUGAGAUCAUCAUAGGUACACUGUGCAACGAGACAACCCUCGAGGUGUACAACUCUGCCAGCUGAGCUGCUGAAAUGGACUCCUUGACUGGAAGGAAAUGCGCCACUUUACUCAAUUUGUCGAUGACGACGAAGAUAGCGUCAUUGCCCUUCUUGGACUUCGGAAACCCUGUGACAAAGUCCAUCUCAAUGUGAUCGAACUUCCACUCGGGAAUCGGCAAAGGCUGCAAGAGGCCCGCUGGUCUUUGAUGUUCUGCUUUCACCCUUCGACAUACAUCACACUCAUUGACGAAUUGAGCAAUUUCACGCUUCAUACGGGUCCACCAGAAUGACUGCUUCAAGUCAUGGUACAUCUUGGAACUUCCCGGAUGAAUAGAAAGCAGAGAAUUGUGAGCUUCUUCCAUGAUCACCUUCCUGAGAUCACCUUUCGGGACGACAAGGCGGUCCUCGAAAAACAAAGUGUCUCUGGCCUCCACAGUGAAACACUUAUACUUGGGAAGGCUCUUCCCCACACCAAUCUUGACCUUCUUCACCAUAGUAUCAAGUAGCUGAGCUGCUCUGACCUGAUCUUCCAAGGUAGGAGAGAUCUGAAGGUUCGCCAGAAAACCCUGAGGAACCAGCUGAAGAUUGAGCUUCCUGAAAGACUCAGAAAGACCCGGCUGGAGAGGUUGCAGAAUCAGACUGUUGCAAUAUGCUUUCCUGCUCAAUGCAUCUGCCACAACAUUUGCCUUGCCUGGCGUGUACUCAACACUCGGAUUAAAAUCCUGGAGCAUUUCCACCCAACGUGUUUGCCGAAGAUUCAAGUUAGGCUGAGUGAAGAUAUACUUGAGGCUCUUGUGAUCGGUGAACACUUCAACCUUACGUUCCAACAAGAGAUGUCUCCAAGUCAUCAAGGCGUGCACCACAGCUGCUAGCUCGAGAUCGUGCACAGGAUAGUUCUUCUCCGCAGGCUUCAGCUGCCUGGAGGUAUAAGCAACCACCUUCCUAUCUUGCAUCAAGACUGCACCAAAACCCUGAAGAGAAGCAUCGCAAAAGACCUAGUACGGCUUGGAAUCAUCCGGAGGAGCCAAUACCGGAGUGGAGGUAAGCUUCUCUUUGAGUGUAUCAAAAGCCAGUUGACACUCUGGAGACCAAACAUACUUGACACCCUUCUGAAGAAGAAUAGAGAGCGGCUUGGCGAUUUUGGAGAAGUUCUGAACGAAUCUUCUGCAAUAUCCGGCAAGACCGAGAAAGCUUCGAAGCUGCUUCACAUUCUGCGGAGGUUCCCAUUCAACAAUGGCCUGAACCUUGGACGGAUCAACCUUAAUGCCCUCGGCAGAGAUAAUAUGCCCAAGAUACACCACUUCUUUCAGCCAGAACUCGCACUUGGAAAACUUUGCAUAAAGCUUGUAUUCUCUCAGUUUAUCAAGCACCAACCUGAGAUGUUUCUCAUGUUCUUCCUCAUCCUCAGAAAAGACCAGAAUGUCAUCGAUAUAAAGCAAGACAAACUCAUUCUUGAAUGGCGAGAAGAUAUAGUUCAUCAAUCGGCAAAAAGUUGGAGGAGCAUUAGCCAGACCAAAAGACAUGACCGUAUACUCAUAAGAGCCAAAACUGGUCCUGAAUGCCGUCUUUGGAAUGUCUUCCUCACGAAUGCGAAUCUGAUGAUAGCCCAUCCUGAGAUCAAGCUUGGAGAAUACUUUAGCACCUUUCAACUGCUCGAACAACUCAUUUAUGUUCGGAAGCGGAUAUUUGUUCUUGAUUGUCUUCUUGUUCAAUGGGCGGUAAUCGACACACAGUCGUUCCGUACCAUCCUUCUUCUUGACAAAUAGAACACCACAUCCCCACGGAGACGAGCUUGGUCUGAUCAAACCCAAACGCUCCUGCUCAUCGAGUUGCCUCUUGAGUUCCUUCGACUCUUCUGGACCCAGCUUGUACGGCCGCUUGCACACUGGCUCUGUGCCUGGCUCAAGCUCGAUGACGAACUCCACUUCACGGUGCGGAGGCAUCCCUGGCAACUCUUCAGGAAACACGUCCUGAUAUUCGCAGACUACUGGAACUUGCUCAAUGGGAUUGAUCUCACCCUUUUCAUUCAAGGAGAACAAGCGGACUGUGUCAUCGCGCGCCGCGAAUAUAAUCACAUCCUCCGAAGAGUGGGUCAGCUUCACUUCUUUAGCUUCACAAUCAAUUGAUGCUUUGUUCAUGGCCAACCAGUCCAUACCAAGGAUCAAAUCAAUGUCGGACUUUCCCAAGACAUACGGAGAGGCCAGAAAAGCAUAAUUGUCCAUUUUGAUAGAAACAUCCGGAGCAAACCAACGAGAACUCAUAAGCAUGCCCGGAGAAACAAUAUCGAAAGACCUGGCCAACUCUUGAAGAUGGAUAUCGUGCUUUGCCGCAAAUGGAUAAGACAAGAAAGAAUGCGAUGCACCAGAAUCAAACAAGACUUUAGCAGGAAAAUCAUUGACUAAGAGAUUACCCAUGAUCACAUCCGAAGAAUUUUCUGCCUCAGCUGCAUUCACCAUGUUGACUCGAGCUGAUCUGGGGUUGAACUUCACAAGAGCGUUGCUAGGAGGUUUGCCUGGAGGAGGAGGCGGCAGACGGAGCUGAGAAGUGCAUUUGUUGGCAUAGUGACCCUUCUGCCCACAUUUGUGACAAGUGACAUCUGCUGGCUGCCGGAACUGAAUCUGAGGAGGCCCUUGCUUCUGCUGCUGAUAUCUCUGCUGGAAUCCAGGGUUGGGUGGGCGGGAAGAACCACGUCCACCUGAGUGCUUCGGCUGCUGAGAGUGCCGAGGAGGAGGAGGAGAAACCCAAAACCUCUGUUGUUUCUGAACCACCUGAGUCGAGGAAGAGCUGGAAUCUCUGAAACGUUUCUUGGAGUUCUCCACCCUGAGCAAGGCUGCCUCUGCUCUGAGAGCUAAGUUAUAGAAUUUGUCAAACUCCUCAGGAUCGUGCAAAGCGAGUGCUAACUGCAAAUCCUCCUUCAAACCACCCCUGAACUGGUAUAUCUUGCUCUUCUGAUCCGGAACAUCCUGCAAUGCGUACCGGGCGAGCUCGUGGAACUCAACAUUGUACUUGUACACAGAAUUGCUGCCCUGCUUCAAGCGCCUGAACUUCUCACGCAUCUCCUCAACAAAACUGGAAGGAAUGUAGUGGGACCUGAAGUCACGACAGAACUCGUCCCAAGACAUCACCCUGCCACCUCUGGAAUCCUUAAGCUGCUGCCACCAAAUAGAAGCCUGUCCCUUCAUCUGGAAUGUUGCAAACUUGACAUAAUCCUCUGGACGCACAUUGCUACACUCGAAAUGCUUGUUCAUAUCACGGAUCCAAUCUUCCGCGUCAAACGGCUGGUCGCAAGAAGUGAACGUCCUGGGCUGGUUUGACAGGAACUGACUCAGACUAGCGAAGUGAUUGCCACCUUGCUGGAAAUUGCCUUGCUGAUGAUUGGCUCUCUCCUGGAUCAACUGCAACAACAUCUGAGUAUUUGCAUUGGUAGCUGCCAUCAUUGCCUGCCAAGCCUCUGCAGGAGGAGGCGGCGGCGGUGGCGGAGGAGGAGGUGGAGGCGGCAUAUCCUCACGGGCUGGUGUCUGACGAGUUGGUGGAGCCAUCCUGAAGAUGGACAGCAAAUUAGUCCACUGAAUAUUUGAAGAUAAGCUGAAUCAACAGACAGAAUAUCUGAAUAGAACUUAGCAUUGCACUCGAACAACAUAGCAAAAGUGCAUUCUCAAAGUAACAUACGACAAAAUUCCGAUAAGGGCCACAGCAAACAAGUGUGAGCUAGAACUGCUCGGAACAAACAUAUGAUCGAGAUUUCCCAAACCUCAAUCAAGCGACUGUAGGAAGAUAGUCCUAUAAGAUACUACCAGAUAUCCCACCUAUGAAUUCUCGAAAUAACUGGUCAUGUAAUCAGGCACACAGAUACAAGGAGUAUUUCACACAACUCCUAAUCUAAACCAUCACCUGUAUCACAUCCUUCAACACACAACCAGCAUCUCGGACCUUCGUCUACACAGAUCCUCGUGAUCACAACGAUACAAAGUGUGGUAGUACCCCCGAACAAUCUACACCAGUACUGGGGACGUCGGGGUUAUCUCACCACUACCCGUAUUGAAGCAAUAACGAACACCCUCCGUUCUUAGGUGCUCAGAAAUCUGAAUGAUGGCGAUGUGCGCGAUAAUCCCUGGAGCUCAACUCCCCUGAUACUUAGAGCAGAUAGGAGGCACCAGGACACGAUUCCGUCACAUCGAAAUCAUAUAGAUUUCGCAAACACCCGCGUGAUCCUAAAAAAAUUUUGAGCGGGAAAAGGAGUAGAGUUAAAGAUUUCCUAAGACGGAAGCCUCACCAGAGCAAGGAAGAGGAGAAAAAUGAAACCUACUCUCCGAUAUAACUAAGACUCAAAACAUUUACUAGACUCGACUCGGCCAAAUACGAUCACACAAAGGCUCCUAUGGUCGUAAGGCUCUGAUUACCAACUUGUAACGACCAAGAUGCGGUCCUUUCCGAUCUGGGGGGCGAGGCCCCCGAAUAGGAAAGAAGCGCAUCUAAGUGUUUUGCAAGCAAGUAAACAUAGCACAUAAUAAUAAAUAAAGUAGACAAUCUGGGAUUCAAUUGUCUUCUUAUUAAUAAAACAGAGUACAACGCAGAUACAAUCAAUGUAGUUCCGGUACGGACUACAAAACAAGGAAAAUGCUAUGCUACCCGCUGCAGGCCCACGAUCACAACCACGGCUCAGUCCUCUGGAUAGUUCACGUAAAGGCGAUCUGUCUCCUCGUCGUACUGCCACGUCAGCUGAGCGCCAUCGGGAUCAUCUGCCUCUGGGGUACCUGUACCUGCUGGGAGUUUCGGAGGAAUCCGUGAGUCACGGGGACUCAGCAAUCUAAGACCUUGGUGCCAGAACUAGACAUGUUAUUGGGUAAGGAAGGGGUGAAGUGUUUCAGGCUGCUGCAUCCUAAGGUUGAAUAAGAGGCUAGCUUACACAAAGGAGAAGUGACAGUGCUCUAUACUAACGGUCGUGAUUACUUGAUCAGAAAGUGAUCCUGAACACAUACCUACGGCAUUCAUAACCCCACCGUGUUCCCGAUCGAAGAGGGAUCUUCGAAGGGACAGUCACGGUUACGCACACAGUUGGCAUAUUUUAUUAGUUUAUGUUUAAGUUUUCUAAUACCGGAUGUCAACAAAAUAUUCCAAGUUGCCACAUAACCGCGGGCACGGCUUUCCGAAAGAUUAAACCCUGCAGGGGUGCUCCAACUAGUCCAUCACAAACGAACACAGGCCGCAAAGGCAUCCUCUAUCACGAAACUCGUGAUCUCGUCGUAUUCCUUAGAGGAAAACCUCAACUCUGGGGAAAACCAAAAUCUCACCGGGAUUCCUAUACGCAAGAUACACCGCUAAGGCAAGACAAGACUAGCAGGACCUCCCGACGUGUCGACGACCCUGAUAAGAGCCGCGUAUCUCAGUCUCAGGACACACCGGAUGAGUCACACUACAGGUAUACCAAACCUCAGGUUGCCCUGUGGUGGCCCCAUAGUCUGCCCAGUUUGGACCAACACUCAUGAGGAGCACUGGCCCGGGUUGUUGAUUAAGAAACCUCGGGGUAGCUAUUCCCUAUGCAGCUUUUUAUUAAGUGAUUAGCAAAUAGUACCAAUGUUGGGUCCUGCCGGACAAGCCUUAACACUACGCGAUUUAUCAAGGGGGUCCCCAUAACAACCCCGAACGUGUUAGGAGCGAUCAUUAUGGAAUCAAACACCGGUAACCGGUAACUAAGGCGGCAAUAACGGAACAAGACACCCGGCAAAAGGCUAGGCCUCCCGUCAUUUACCAAAUAUAUAGAUACAUUAAUUAAAUACCAGAAAUUAAUAUAAUGAUAUCAAGCUCAUGGCAACUCAUGAGUGAAAAACACCUGCAACUAACAAUGCUAACAUUAGUAGCUGAGCAAGCCUACCUAGCCAUGCAAAUUUGCUAGGAAAGAGUAAGGUGUUUGGGCUCAUGGCAUAUGAAGAGGCAAUAUAUUUUCGGUGGUAGGCAGCGAGCAAUAUGACGUGGAAUCGAAACUAACAUUACAAGUCUAGAUAUGGGAUCAAGGUCAUGUCAUCUUGCCUGUGAUAUCCUCAGCUUGGAAUGGUUCUGGAUCGUCCUGCAAGUACUCUCCUGACUCCACGUAAUCGGUCUCCGCUCCCGGUGCUACCCAACACAAGAAUAACAGCCAAUGAACAGCAGCUCCACAAAAUGCAACAAUCACAUGAUGCAUGAGAUGAAAGUUGAGCAUGCACCACUAUUUCUAACACUAGCACAAGCAAGAUAAACUACAACGAGUUCCUGGACAGAACUUUGCACUAAACUAUUUGGACAUGCAUGGUAAUGAAAUGAACAGAUGCAUCUCGUAAAAACGGUGCAAAACCAUAUAAAGAACUUUGCAAACGGAGCUACGGAUCAACGGGAAACAACGAAACACGAUAUGAAGCCCUACGUGAAAGAUUCAUCACCACACACACAAUUGGCACAAAUCUGGUGUUCCCAGGUUGCCAAGACAUAUAUGAACCCAACAUGAAUGAAAUGGAGCAAGGUAGAACACUCCAACAACAAUUAAACGCAAACUUUGAACAAAAUGUCAAAACUACGCAAUCUGCCAGUUUCUGCAUCUUAGCUGUUUGAGAGCAACAUGCAACAUAGCUACAGGUCUUCAAACAUGACAAAUAAUAUAUGUGGCUGUUGCCAACCAAGAACACUACCAUAUCCAGCAAGAAUCACAGCAAAAGGAAUUAAACUCUAGAAGAUACAAGGCCACAAACUUUCCCAAAACCAUCAGUUCUCAGGGACUUAGUGAAAAUUCCUGCACCUGAGUUACUGUUUCUGUUCUGAAGCUUUUUGACAGAAAUCAAAACACAAGCUACUGGACACCAAAUGACUUGAAAAUUGACAGGAAGCUUCACAAACAUACCAGGUUCAAAACACUAGCAGUGAACUAAGUCCAGUUUCCACCACAAUGACCAGAACAACCUUAUCUACAGGGGAAGAAAAUGUUUUCAGCAUUCCAGACUUAGUGAAAUUUUCAGGGUUCAAAAAUCUGGAAUUUUCCAACCACAUGCCCACUUUGUCUAGGCAUAGUUUGCACACACAAGUUCCCAAGAGGUGUUUGACACCACUAUGGUAUUGAGCACAAACCCCUACAACUAACACACCAAGAUCCAUGCUUUUGGGCUCCAUCUAUAUCAUGGAAACAAAGCCCAAACUUUCAACAACAUAAAAAUGCAAAUCCAUAUGGUAUUCUUCUAAGAGGACAAUACAUAGGAGGGUUUCAUGUGCACAAUGACAAAGUGACAUGGGGGUUUGAACCCCAUGUUUGUGUCAUACACACCAACAACCCCAACACACAUGAGCCAACCCCACACACACAAUAUGCCCUCUCUCAUAUGAAACAUGAGGAGGUGCACCACUUGUAAAGGUGGGGAGGUCCACACCACCCACACAUCUAGCAUGACACAAAUCUAGUCCUACUAGAACUAGUUAGAGCAUACAAUAGCUACACUCCCUAAAUGAAUCCGACAACACCACACACUACCACUCAUGAGCACAUCAAUGCUCUUCAAGCCUUGCCAUGGGUGAGGCUCUCACACACAUAUCUAUACUAGAGCUACCACAAGCUAAUGCACACACAUCACAAUCUACUAGCCCCACAUGGUGCAAGAGCCCACUCCAAGCACAAGGGAAACACACUCACAUGCACAUCUUUCACAAGCACAACCACACACACUACAUCACCUAGCACAACUAUAACAGCAAGGAGAAAAAAAAAUACAUAAUUCCAUGGCCACCUUUGGUAGGCACAAGAUCAGCAAUAGUAAGAAGGGUGUUUUAAAAAAAAUGUAGCAGAAGAAAAAAAAACAACAAGGACAGAACACAAUAGCAAGAGGGGUCAGGAUUUGAACCCUGAACCUCCUGAUGCUCUCUACUGCACCCAUCCACUCUGCUAUGCCCCUGGGCUCGAUAGAGAAGGACCCAAACAGAGGUUAACUCUGUUGUGCUGCCCUACUGCAAAUCAGAAAGGAAAACAAGCAAGAUAAAAAGGGGGUGCAACGCAUGGGAUUCGAACCCUGCACCUGACGAUAACACAAACACCAUCUACCACUGCGCUGCUGUUACUGAUGUUAACAGGAGAAGGAAAAAAGGAUAAGGUAAUCCACCUGCAGGAAUAAAUCAAAACAAGGAACAAAAGGCGCCGAGGGGGGGACUCGAACCCACGCCCUCUUACAGGCGCACCAUGCUAGUUACCACUCGGCUAUGACUCGUCUACUGUCAUAGAAGAGAGUCUGAAACUAGGUGAGCUAACACUCCCGACUGACUGCUAUGCCCUGCGAAAUCUGCUGCUCGCCGGUAACAGAGAAGACGCCAUGGGGACUCAAUACGGAUCAACACGGCGAGGGAUCCAGCCUGGCCACGGCAGCUACCACGAGGGGGAGGAAGCCCCUCUGCGCAGCGCUGGCACGCACACACUCUGCACUGCAGAACAAGCCGCGCUACUGCAUCCUACUAAACCGCUGCUAGGGAACAGAGAAGCACGCGCCACGCCGGGAACGAGCCGGACCGCGGAGGAGGAAGGAAGGAGGAGGACGCGGCCUCACCUUGGGGGAAGAUGGGGCGCCGAACGGGGAGGAGGAGCGUCGAAGGGAAGCAGGCCGUCGACGAGGAGACCCGACGGCAGAACCGAAGGAGAUAUGGCGGGACACCGCGGGCACGGCCUAGACGAGCUCGGGUCCGGCGAUGUGGUCGGCCCCCGGGACCCCUAGCGCCGGGAAUGGAUCGCGGGGAUCCACCCCGUGCUCCCAGGCAUGACGACGGCGGCGAACGGAGGCGGGGCGCGACGCCACCGGCGACGCCUUCUGCUCUCUGUCCUGCUUCUCUCUGCUGUCUUACCUGACAGAGAAGAAGGAAGAGAGAUGGGAACGAGAUGGGUUUGGGAGAGGUGGCGGCGGCGGCUGAGGGGAGGAGAGGAACCCUAGGCUUCGGGCACGGACGCCAACGCAUCUUAUAGGGGGACCUCGACGUGCUGCUCACGGCGCCGUCAUCUCUCUCUCUCUCACACGUUCUGACGGAAAGCAGGCAGCGAGGGGAGGAGGAGGACGCCGUGAAGAAGGAAAAGAGAGGAGAGGUCUCGCGUGGGCUCUCUCUGGAGGGAGCCGCUGGGCCAGGAGGGAGGAAAGAGGCCCAAGCUGCCCAGGAGGAAGGAAAAAAAAUUGGGGAGGGGAUUCCUAUUUAGUAUUUAAACACACUCAAGAAAAUAACCCACAAAAUAAUCUACUGAGGCAAAAAUCAAAAGGAAAAUCCUGCUGGACUUAAGGAAUUUUUGCCCAAUAGGGAAAAAUAGGAAUGCAAUAAUUGGAGAAGUUUGAAAUUAAUGCAAAACAGUAAUUUAAGCUACUGUUUUGAAUUUAUUUGCACCACUAAAAUCAAAGAGUCAAAACAGUAAAAUUGCACCCCCUCAUAAGCACAUUUUAUCCACCCACUAGACAUUUUAGAAUCACCUUUGGGAAGAAGGAAUUUUGGCAGGACUGAACAUAGGAGGGAAAAGGAGUUCGAAAGCAAGAGCUUAAAAGACUGGCACUCACUCUUGCAUCACACACCAUUAUCACAUGCUCACAAGGUAGUGCAAAACCACCACUUAAUCCUAGCAAGAUCACAUGCACUCACAACACCACAACACUACUCCUAUUAAACUCAAAUGCAACAUGAUCAUGGCAUGCAAUCAUAAGUAUGGCAAGGAAUGAUAUGUAACUCAUGCAUGCAAGGGAAGUAAGCACUAGGGAACACACAUGAAUUCAAAGCACGAAAGAUAUCCUCAAGAUCUCUGACAAGCUGGCCCCACAUGGAAGGUUACAAGAAAGGAAAGUCUACACUUGGGGCAUUACAGGCGCCUACACCAAUUGAAGUGAAAGCUGAUGAUGGUGAUCAUCGAGCAUCGGAUCAAGUUACUACAAACCUCGUAGGUUGACAAGGUCGCGUACUACUACAGAGUGGUAGGGUAACCCUGUCUUGGAGGUCAUGUUGUUGAGCAACAGUGAACCUACGAGUUAUGGAGAAAGCAAUGGUGGGCCCAGAUUCUGACAAAUGGCUAGAAGCCAUGAAAUCCGAGAGAGGAUCCAUGUAUGAAAACAAAGUGUAGACUUUGGAAGAACUACUUGAUGGUCAUAGGACUAUUGAGUAAAGAUGGAUCUUUAAAAGGAAGACAGACGAUGAUAGUAAUAAGUCACUAUUAAGAAAAUCUCGACUUGUCGCAAAGAUGUUUCCGACAAGAUCAAACAGUUGACUAUGAUGAGACUUUCUCACUCGUAGCGAUGCUAAAAGUCUGUUAGAAUUAUGUUAGUAGUUGAUGCAUUAUUUAUGAAAUAUUCCAUGUAGGAUGUCAAAACAUUGUUUCCUCGACGGUUUCCUUGAGCAAACAUUGUAUGAGAUACAACCAUGAGGUUUUGUCGAUCCUAAAGAUACUAGCAAGUAUGCAAGCUCCAGUGAUCCUUAAAUGGACUGGUGCAAGCAUCUCGGAGUUGGAAUAUACACUUUGAUGAGAUGAUCAAGGAUUUUGGGUUUGUACAAGGUUUAUGAGAAACUUGUAUUUCCAAAGAAGUGAGUGGGAGCACUAUAGAAUUUCUGAUAAGUAUAUGUGUUUGACAUAUUGUGGAUCAGAAGUAAUGUAGAAUUUCUGUAAAGCAUACAAGGUUGUUUGAAAGGAGUUUUCAAAGGAAUACCCGGAUUGAGCUACUUGAACGUUGAGCAUCAAAUAUCUAUGGAGAUAGAUCGAAAGCGCUUAAUGGAAGUUUCAACAAGAUGCAUGCCUUGACAAGUUUUGAAGGAGUUCAAAAUAGAUCAACAAAUAAGGAGUUCUUGGUUGCGUUGUAAGGUGUGAAUUUGAGUAAGACUCAAAACCCGACCACGGCAGAAUAAAGAGAAUAGACGAAGGUCGUCUUCUAUGCCUUAGCCGUAGACUCUAAAGUAUGCCAUGCUGAGUACCGCACCUGAUGUGUGCCUUGCAGCAAGUCUGUUGAGAGGUACAGAGAGUGAUCCAUGAUUGAAUCACUAGCAGCGGUCAAAAUGUAUCCUUAGUAACUGAUGGACUAAGGAAUUUUUCUCGAUUAUGGAGGUGGUUAAAGAGUUCGUCGUAAAGGGUUACGUCGAUGUAAGCUUUGACACUAAUCCGAAUGACUAUGAGUAGUGAAACGGAUUCGUAUAGUAGAGUAGAUAUUUGGAGUAUUUCCGAAUAGCACAUAGUAGCAGCAUCUAUAAGAUGACAUAAAGAUUUGUAAAGAAUACACGGAUCUGAAAAUUUCAGAACCGUUGACUAAAACCUCUCUCAUGAGCAAGACGUGAUCAGACCCCAUAACUAUAUUGGGUGUUGGAUUCGUUGGAAUCACAUGGUGAUGUGAACUAGGUUAUUGACUCUAGUGCAAGUGGGAGACUGUUGGAAAUAUGCCCUAGAGGCAAUAAUAAAAUGGUUAUUAUCAUAUUUCCUUGUUCAUGAUAAUCGUCUAUUGUUCAUGCUAUAAUUGUAUUAACAGGAAACAGUAAUACAUGUGUGAAUAAAUAGAUCACAAUGUGUCCCUAGCAAGCCUCUAGUUGGCUAGCUCGUUAGUCAAUAGAUGAUCAUGGUUUCCUGAUCAUGGGCAUUAGAUGUCAUUGAUAACGGGAUCACAUCAUUGGGAGAAUGAUGUGAUGGACAAGACCCAAUCCUAAGCCUAGCACUAGAUCGUAUUGUUCGUAUGCUAAUUCUUUUCUAAUGUCAAGUAUCUUUUCCUUCGACCGUGAGAUUUUGCAACUCCCGGAUACCGUAGGAGUGCUUUGGGUGUAUCAAAUGUCACAACGUAACUGGGUGACCAUAAAUGUGCACUACGGGUACCUCCGAAAGUGUCUGUUGGGUUGGUACGAAUCGAGAUCGGGAUUUGUCACUCCGUGUGACGGAGAGGUAUCUCUGGACCCACUCGGUAGAACAUCAUCAUGAGCUCAAUGUGACUAAGGAGUUAGUCACACGAUGACGUGCUACGAAACGAGUAAAGAGACUUACCGGUAACGAGAUUGAACAAGGUAUAGGUAUACCGACGAUCGAAUCUCGGGCAAGUUCUAUACCGACAGACAAAGGGAAUCGUGUACGGGAUUGAUUGAAUCCUUGACAUCGUGAUUCAUCCGAUGAGAUCAUCGUGGAGCUAGUGGGAGCCACCAUGGGUAUCCAGACCCCGCUGAUGGUUAUUGGCCAGAGAGGUGUCUCGGUCAUGUCUGCCUGUCUCCCGAACCCGUAGGGUCUACACACUUAAGGUUCGAUGACGCUAGGGUUAUAGGGAAUUGUUAUACGAGGUUACCGAAAGUUGUUCGGAGUCCCGGAUGAGAUCCCGGACGUCACGAGGAGCUCCGGAAUGGUUCGGAGGUAAAGAUUGAUAUAUAGGACGGAUGGUUUCGGAUACCGGAAGUGUUUCGGACAUCACCGGUAACGUACCGGGACCACCGGGAUCACCGGAGGUGGCCCCGGGGGACCACCGAAGGGGGGCAACGACCAUGGGAGAUAAGGUGGGCCAAGUGGGGGUGGGAACCAGCCCUUAGGUGGGCUGGUGCGCCUCCCCACUCAGCCCAUAGCGCAAGGGAGAGAAAAAGGGGGGGGCAAACCCUAGGCCAGGUGGGCCUAAGGCCCACCAGAUGGUGCGCCACCCCUCCUCCCCCUUCUGGCCGCCGCACCUCCCAUCUGGGGGGGGCUGCCGUCCCCUAGGGUGGGAACCCUAGGGGUGGCACCCCCUCUCCCCUCCCCCUAUAUAUAUCGGGCACUUUUGGCCAUUGAGACACACAGUUUUUCCUCUCUCUCGGCGCAGCCCCGCUCCUCUCCCUCCUCCUCUCUGCUGGUGCUUGGCGAAGCCCUGUCGGGAGACCUCGUCUCUCCAUCGACACCACGCCGUCGUGUUGCUGGAGUUCUUCCCCAACCUCUCCCUCCUCCUUGCUGGAUCAAGGUGCGGGAGACGUCACCGGGCUGCACGUGUGUUGAACGCGGAGGUGCCGUUGUUCGGCACUAGAUCGGAAUCGCUGCGAGUACGACUCCAUCAACCGCGUUCUAGCAACGCUUCCGCUUAGCGAUCUUCAAAGGUAUGAAGAUGCUCUUACCCCUCUCUCUUUGCUGGUCUCUCCAUAGGAAGAUCUGAAUAUGCGUAGGAAAAUUUUGAAUUUGUGCUACGUUACCCAACAUGUAGGUCAUAUGUUACACAUUUUUGUAGCAUGACCUACAUAUAUUUAUAUGUUGUACAUUUGAAGCGAGCAAACAUAUGUAGGUCAUAUGUUACACAUUUUGGUUAAAAAUGACACCCGUUUGACUUCAAUCCAAUAGAUUUUGUUUUUGACAUAACAUUUUGUCACAUGCUUCAUAUACUUUGUUGUUUUCAAAUAUAUUCCGAGAGCAUUCUUAAAAUUGAUUUUGUAACUGUUUUAGUUUUCUAGCAUCUAUUUAUGCAUAUUUUUUAUCAAGGUUUCAGCAGCAACGCGCGGGUCAUCAUCUAGUAAGAAAUAGAAGUUGUGGACUAACGAUGGUUUUAUAAAAAUCCAACAUUUUUUUCGAUCAACAGGGCUCACCGCGGUUCCAUUUCAUGAACCCUGUUCCAUUUCAUUGAAACAAAACAUAAAAAAUAAACCCAAUAAAUACAAGUAAGAGAAGGGGUAAAUGGCUCAAAUCAUGUUCUAGUUGUAUUUCAGGGAGCCGAUCAAGCCGUGGCUAGCACUUCUAGUAGUACGCUAUAGGAGUUCAGGCUACCUCCGUGCGCUGAAGCACAGCCGGCUCAACAGGUAAGGAGGCUUUAGGCCUGGCCGGAGAGUGCAUGAGAGAUAUUCAGCUUCAGGGUUUGUUUGUUUAGGAUUCGUACUCGGGUCCAAACAACAUAAUUGGAGGCACCUCCGCAAAGGGUUUUUUCCAAGCCGAAGUGAACUAUGUUGCGUUUGCUUGAGAAGCAACCUGCGAGAAGUGGAUGCCGUUGGUUGAGCUGUGAGAAUGCACAGGUUGGAUGUACAUUGAGCAUCGCAUGCUGGUUCCGGAUCCGUGCCAACAUUAUGCUUGCUAUCAUGUUGGUAUCCUCCAAUCUCUCACAUGACUAAACAUUGUGGACAUGCGGAUAAUGACAUGGUCGGGAAUAAGCAACUAAUUAAGAACAAAGGCUGGUUGCUCUUGCUCAUUGACACACACUCGGCUAAGACAGGAAGUCAGUGAAAGGUAUAUAUGUAGAAGCUUUCGUUCCUGCAACAAGGAAUGAUACACACAUAUAAGCAUGAGUACAUGGGAACUCUAGUGCAUAUGAGCAUGAUAAAGUCUGAAGUGUGUGAGCACAUCACGCAAUUGUUCCCCACAAAAGCCAACAUGACCGGUUUGAAGAAAUUAGCAAUCACAGUUUUGCAGCAUGCGUAUCACCCUCUCUUAUUCCCCCUUUGCUUUUUAUAGUACUUCAUAUUUCCUUCAACCGCAAUAGCAGAAACACCAGAUAAGCAUGCCUACUGUACAAUAUGCAUGAGGGAACAAAAUAAUUGAUCUCGUUCCCAUUGUCCUAGACAAUUGGAUUAUCUCACGUGAAUAUUUUAUAGUACAUGUACAAGUUGUAAAUACCAAGAGAAGUGUAAAAUAUUUUGAAUGACCGUUAUAUCCCAUGUAAUUUGUAAAAGAUAACUCUAGAAUUAAAUUGUCUAGGGUGACUGAUAAUUACUUGGUCAUAAAAUGAGUUAGUAAUACGGGUUCAAAUCAAGAAAAAAAAUAGCAUGCUACAGAAAAUAGCACAGCCCUUGAAAAUAUGCUAUAGCGUGUUAUAAUGUGUUUUUAGCGAGACAUUAUACACUAAUUAAUUUAAUGAAAUAAUUCUCUACACACUAUAAUGUUUUAUUUUUUUCAAUGGUUCAAAUGUCUAGGGUGACUGGUAAUUACUUGGUUUUCUUUAAGAUCGAAGUUCAUUUCUCCCUCGUGCGUUCGGACGUGUCCGAGCAUGUGCCCAGCAGGCUCCACAAAAUCCAGCAAUCUGAACAGUAAGGGGUCCCUCAAAUCCAGACCAUGUGUGGAGAAGAAAUAUGGUUGUCCAUACUCUGAACUAUCCGUCGUGUUAUCUACAACAUAUGGUCCCAACACAAAAACCCCACCCCACGACACAUCAUUCUUCUUUUCCUGUCAAAAUCUCCCCUUUUCGCUCGUUUUUUUGUCGUAGCAGGACCUUUUCGUUGAAAGCCUAUCUCCUCCUCCAGACGCACUCAAGCGAGCAUCUGCGUCCAGCUUGGCAUCAUCAACAAGAUAGAAGAUUUCAACGAUGAAGCUCUCCUUGCAUACGUGCAGUUUUUUCGCGAGCCCAUGUCACCGGAGCGUGUGGAAAAAAUCACGGAGAUCGCUGGACUGGCUUCACCCGCAAGCCUGCAACUACCCGAUGAAGAGCUCCAGGCGAUCUUGGGGGAGCUGGCAGGGCGCGUCCCCUGAACGCCGUCCAUGCGGCUGACCACACUGUAGACUGUUUAAUGCCAUGAUAAGUGCAUCAAUGUUUGCUUUCCUUUCCUCCUGGUUUGUGCGCCGUAUGGCUGCCCUGCAUGCUCAGGUAGCAGUCUGUAUCAUGCUGCAGGGGAUAUGCGCAACCCCUGCCUAUCUAAGUGUAGUCUCCUUUGUUUUUCCAUGAAUGAACACCUUUCUGUUUUUAAUUGGAAUGUGAGAGGUCUUAAUGAUGCUGCUAGACGCGCGUCGGUCCGCUCGCUUCUUGACACUUUGGCUUGCUCAAUUGUCUGCUUGCAAGAGUCCAAGCUUGACUCGUUCUCUGAUCAUGAUCGUAAUGAGAUUUUUGGCCGGCGUUUCGAUGAACAUGCGGCGCUCAAUGCGGUAGGCACGCGAGGAGGAGUCCUUUUGGGCUGGAGAACUGACCGCUACGUGGCUUCAGACAUCCAUGUGGGAGAAUUUUUUUAUCACCGCGAGGUUCUCACCGGUGGACAGGGGUCAGCCGUGGUCCUUGACCACGGUAUAUGGCCCACACGAUGAUUCACGGAAACAAGCCUUUCUCAGCCAACUCGCGAUCAUUCAUAAUAUGAUGCAAGGACCCUGGUGUAUUAUUGGUGAUUUCAACAUGAUUAAUGACCCCAGAGACAAGAACAAUGACAGGAUUUGUCGGCGUUGGAUGAAUCAUUUUCAGCGAGCACUUAAUAGGUCUGCGCUACACGAGCUGCCCUUGAUAGGACGCAAAUACACAUGGAGUAAUGAGCAGGCUGUUCCUACACUUGUUCGCCUGGACCGAGCUUUCCACAAUGUGGAAUGGGAGAUGUGGUUUCCAACAGCAAAACUGCUGCCGCAAGCGUCAUCUGUCUCUGACCAUUGCCCGCUGUUGUUGAUUGAUGAGAAUGUCAUCCACAUUAACAGGCGUUUUCGCUAUGAGAGCUACUGGCAGUACAUUCGUGGAUUCCAAGAGGUGGUUAAACAAGCAUGGACAGUUUCAACCGGCGACUCCUCCUCAAUUACUAGGCUUAGCAUCAAGCUAUGGAGGACCAGCAAGGCACUUAGAGUGUGGAGUAAAACCUUUGUGGGUGACGUACAAAAAUAAAUGCUAAUAGUCAAUGAGAUGGUGCUGCAGCUUGAUGGGGCCCAGGAGAUUAGAGACCUAUCACUACAAGAAAAGGAGUUGCGUACUAAGCUGAAAUCAAGAACAAUGGGACUGGCUGUUCUGCUCAAAAUCAAGAGACGUCAACGAAGCAGAGUGACAUGGCUCAAGGCUGGAGAUGCGAAUACUAAGUUCUUCCAUAGGAAGGCAAAUGCGCGCCGCAGGCGCAACACCAUCCAUGUCCUACAUGAUAGUGCGGGUGCAACAUCUGCAACAUCCACCUGCGCUAUGACUGAGCUGGCAAAACGACACUUCUCGACCUUUUUUGGUACUGCGGAUAAACUGACCUCAGCUAUUAAUUGGGACGGGCUAGGGUUCGAGCAGACGGACCUGACUGACCUUGAGGGAGAAUUCACCUUACAAGAGGUAAAAGCUGCCAUUGACGCUAUUCCACAAGAUAAGGCGCCGGGUCCAGAUGGGUUCUCAGGUGGUUUUUACAAGGCCUGCUGGAACAUCAUCAAGUUCGACCUGUUGGCGGCACUGAAGCAGCUAUACCACAUGGACAGUACCGGUUUAAACCGAAUUAAUAAGGCCAUCCUUGUCCUCAUCCCAAAGAAGAAUGGCGCUGAUAACCUCCAUGACUUUCGGCCAAUCUCCUUGAUUCAUAGCAUAGUCAAGAUUUUCACCAAGAUCCUUGCAAGUAGGCUCGCCCCUAAGCUGAACUCGCUGGUUGAUCACUGCCAAAGCGCGUUCAUAAAAAAUCGCAGCAUCCAGGAAAAUUAUCUGUAUGUACAAAACACGGCCCGGUAUCUCCAUAAACACAAGAGACCGACCGUGCUGCUGAAGCUUGACAUAGCCAAAGCAUUUGACUCCGUCUCAUGGGCUUAUAUACUCGAUAUGCUUGAGGCACGCGGUUUUAGUCAAAGGUGGCACGAAUGGAUAGCAAUGCUUCUCAGAACUUCCACCUCGCAAGUGUUGAUUAACGGCUCAGUAUCUGAUUGCAUCCAGCAUGGAAAAGGACUGCGGCAAGGGGACCCAUUAUCCCCAUUUCUUUUCAUUCUUGCCAUGGACCCCUUACAAUGGAUUUUGCGGUUAGCAACAGAGACACAACUCCUAUCAGUAAUUCCAGGCCGCAGGCAGCUGAUGAGAUGUGCAUUCUACGCUGAUGAUGUGGCGCUCUUUAUGCGGCCUUCAUUGUCCGAUGCACAAAUGAUAAAUUGUUGCUUGACUUCUUUGGAAAUGUCUCAGGGCUUCGCACAAACAUGGCCAAAAGCUCAGCCUUACCCAUCAACUGUGAAGGGCUAAACCUGGCCGCCAUCUUACGUCCUCUUGGCAUUCCUUUGAAGACAUUUCCAUGUGUGUACCUCGGCAUGCCGCUAUCGCUAAACCGUCUUCGCAAGGUUGAUUGGGACCUAUGGCUACAUAAAUUUGCUAACAAGACAGCGGAUUGGAAAGGGAGAUUGAUGGCCAAAAGUGGGCGCCUGGUACUGCUUAAUGCAGCCUUGUCAUCUCUGGCCAUUUACAUGAUGACGUCUCACAAACUACCGGCUUGGGUUCUUAAACGCCUAGUUCAAAUAUGUCGAGCCUGGCUAUGGAGUGGAGAGGGCGCGUGCAAUGGAGGCAAAUGCAGAGUUAAUUGGUCUGCCCUAGCACGCCCUAAAACCUUGGGUAGCUUAGGGGUUCUCGACCUGGAAAAAUUUGGCACGGCCCUUCGGAUUAGAUGGCUAUGGAUGGCCUGGAAGGAUCAGACUAGACCAUGGGUUGGCCUAGAACUGCCUUAUGAUGCCUCGGACCGUGCCCUUUUUUAGAUGGCCACGACUAUCACCAUACAAGAUGGCUGCACCGCGCGGUUUUGGCAUGACAGAUGGCUACAAGGCAUGUGUCCAAAAACAAUGGCGCCGGACCUUUACAAGAUCUCAAUUAGGAAAAACCGCACAGUGAAAGAAGCAUUAACUGCUGAAAAAUGGCUGACGGACUUGGCACACGGGCUGACAGAAACGAUGGUACCUCAGCUGGCCUGGCUGGCGGCAUGUCUCGAACAGAUUGAACUCACUCCCGAUAGGCCAGACACUGUAGAAUGGCGUUACAACUCCGAUAAAAGAUAUAGUGCAAAAUCCACCUACCUGCUGCAAUUCAAUGGCUCGACAACCAUGGAAGGAGCAAAAUAUAUCUGGACGGGCUGGGCACCGGGCAAAUGCAGAUUCUUUUUAUGGACAGCCGCAUUGGGGAAAAUACUAACGGCAGACGUGUUGUUGCGGCGAGGAUGGGAGAACAAUUAUUUCUGCCCUCUAUGCCAGAGAAAUCUGGAGACCGCUUUCCACCUUCUCGUGGAGUGCUCUUGGACCCGGAAAACCUGGGAUGCAAUCGCAACCUCAACUGACCUACCAUCACUGAGACCAAUCUCAUGGAUGGGAUUGAACAAUAUCAAAGGAUGGAUGCAUAACUGUUGGCAAAAUGCACCCACAACACGAAGGAAAGGAACUCAGUCGCUCCUACAUCUAAUAUCCUGGGAGAUCUGGCGCGAACGAAAUAGGCGGCUGUUCGAUCACAAAAGGAUGGACACUGAAACAUUGGUGAGAAGAAUUAGGGAUGAAAUUAGAGUCUGGAACAUGGCAGGAGCAGGGAUUCCGUUUGAUCUGGCUGAAUUCUGUUUUUUUUCAGCCGUGAGUUUUUUGCUUCUUUUCUCCUUUCUUUCCUUUCUAGCCCCUCUUUUUCGUUUGGUGGCUGGCCCUUCCAGGCCUUCUCUUGUAUUGUCUUGCCCCUUACUGAUCAAUUGAUUUGGUAGAUCUCCUACCAACAUUCAAAAAAGAAACUGAAUGACGCCCACUUUAUAUUCGCCAUGGUGCCCUCUCUCCUUCACACUGCAUUUUCUCACGAACCGCAAAGAGGAGUUUCCUGCCAACCACCCCGCUCACUUCCUUGAUCCCCUCCCCCCUUGUACAGUUGGAUGUGCAUGAGGCCGUGGUCGUUGGUGCCCAUGCCGACGCGUGGUACAAGGUAGGGCGCCGUCCGCAAGGCCAGCAGGAGAACGAGAGACGGCAUCAGAAUUCAGAACGUGCAGCAACUGAUAUUUCAGCUGAGGUGUACAACGUAACUGCCGAUGGAUUCAGCUUGGUCAUAAUGCUAUGCCAUGUAGGCUUUAUCGGCCAGCCGACGUACUGUGUGUGAGUAUGACCUGCAAGCUAACGAUGGGUCAAUAGCUCCUAUGCGACAUUUUUGAGGUGAAUUGAAGGAGUGGGACGUCUUUCGUCCGAAUUGCCUUGGUGCGAUACUUCUGAGCGAGGAAAUAUCCCAAACACGACAUGGCCUUUAAUCUGAACUGAUGUCCUCAUUAGCUGUUAGGGUUGGACCCACAACUUAUCCACGUAAGCGCGGGCCCUACUUGGCAGUACAUCUAUUUACGGGCCCCACUUGUCAGUGCAUCAGGUGAAACGUGUCUUAGAGGCUGGACCCACAACUUAUCCACGUAAGCGCGGGCCCUACUUGUCAGUGCAUCAGGUGAAACGUGUCACCGUGCCUGUCCGAAUGGGUACCCCUGUCUGAAAUGUGUUGCUCCCUCUUCUUCUUUCCCGACGGUGAGUUGCCGCCGGCGGCGGACCUUUUGUUCUGGGUGACAGCAGCGGCGAAGCUUUCGUUUUCGGCGACGGCGGCGGCUGUGGUGAGUGAAUCCGGAACCCUGUCCUGUUCUCCUUCAUGUUGAGUUAGAUCUCACCGCAUCGCCUCUGUUUUCCUCUGUUUUUGGUCGAUUUGAUCCAGAUUGCUGGUGCGAACGAGUACAUCAUUUGGCAGGUCAUCCGGCCAGAGCUCAGAAGAAACCUGUAGGGUAGCACCAAAAGCAGCCACAGUAUGCGCAAGAUCAUUACAAGCCGUGGGGGCAAAAGAGAACGAGCAAGCAUUAAAAUUCUGACGAGCAAAGACUCUGAUUUCUCUGAACAAGAUGCCUUCUGGUGCCUUGUCUAAUUCUGAGCUUUGUAGCGCUUUGACGAGCGUUGUCUAAUUCUGAGCUUUGUAGCGCUUUGACGAGCGUCUGGCAGUCUGACUCCACUUGCACGUACCAAAGUUCUCCAUUGGUUCCGAAGUCUGAAAGAAUGCAUCGAUAUAUAAUACAGUUGUUUUGUUCUGUACCAAAGUUCAGACACUUGUUGAAGAUCUUGUUUUAAUAGCAUCGUACCUUCUUCUUCCAACACUUGUUUAAGAUCUUCCUCAUGCUCAGAUCGAGGUAAUUUGAUUAUACGUCGGAUCUCCGUGCAAAGUCAAAUCAAAUUUGUGGUUGUUUUGCAUACUAGCCGCACAAACACAAUCUCUAUAGAAUACAUAUCUUAAAAAUGCCUUAACCAAGCCACACUUGUCUACCAAUUUUGCAUACGUAGUUUGAAGCUCUGUCUACAAAUGUGUUCUAUUGGUUCAAGUCUGAAGCUCUGUCUGCAAUGCAUACAGCGGAGUGCAUGCGGUGAGCACAAGCAAGUCCAGCCGACAGACUCAAGCAAUUCCUCCGCGUCCCCUCACUCUUGUCGCAUGGAAUGGAAUUGAUGUCCUUGAGCCCUCCCCCUCUUCUUUGGCAUGUCUACGGACUCCUCGGCGGCGUCCGCCAAUGGCGUCCUUCCCCUCGUCCGCGACCUUGUCCACGACAACGUUGCACUCUCUGGUAGCGCUUAAGCUUGUCGACGGUCUGGUGUUGGGGUAGCCGAAGAGUGCGACAAUUCCUCAGUUAACACAAUGCAACAAUUCUUGAGUUAAUCGACGGGGAGGAGCGUAACGUUUCGGUGGAGUUGGGCCGACCAAUGAAAGUGCAGCACGUGGAUCGCUGACGUAGCCCUACUUCCUAAUUCAAACCGUCCAUUCAGGACGAUCCAAUGGUCCGGACAGGUGCGGGGUUUUGAGACGUUUUCAAGGGUUAGGAUUGAACAUAACUAAUUCAAAAAAAAUCAAAAAAUAGAAAACUGGUGCCAAUCAUCGUUCUGUGUGGCUAAAUUGAUAGGAAAAAUAAGAAACCUGGACUAUGGAGUUUUUCAUGAAAAAACCUUCACAAACUUGGCUAUCACGAACAAGGUUGUAGGUUUUUCAAAGGUUAGGGUUGAGCAUAAGUAAUUCAAAAAAAAUAAAAAAUAAAAGAAAACUGGGGCCAAUCAUCGUUCUAUGUGACUAACUCGAUAGAAAAAAUAAGAAAUCUAGACUAUGAAGUUUUUAAUGAAAAAACCUUCAUAAACUUAGCUAUCACGAACGAGGCUGUAGGAUUUUCAAAGGUUAGAGUUGAACAUAAGUAAUUCAAAAAAAUAUAAAACUGGUGUCAAUCAAUUUGAGUUGUUACUAUAUGAAAAAGUAAGAACAUGUGUACUGGUUUUCCAAUAUUUUGAUUAUUUUUUUUUACAUUUUUAUGCUCAUUUCAAACUUGGUCAAACAUAAGUUUGACCAACAUUUAAACAAGUUUCAAACAUGAAAAUGACAAAUCAAGCCUAGAUCCUUCUUGGUCACUGCAAAAUGAAGCUUUUGUGAGGUUUUUGAAAGUUUGAAGUCCAACACCCAAAACCACUUGUCUUCACACAUGAGUUUCAAAUUAGCUCAAAAGGAGAUAAAUACCACAUUUCUAAGCAAGUUUUUUUGUCCACCAUGUGUAAAACAGCCAAAUCAAUUUGAGUUGUUAGUAUAUGACGAAGUAAGAACAAGUGCAUUGGUUUUCUAUUUUUUUAUGCUCAUUUCAAACUUGGUCAAACCUAAGUUCAACCAUCAUUUAAAUGAGUUUCAAACAUAAAAAUGACAAACCAAGCUUGGAUCCUUCUUAGUCACUGCAAAAUGAAGCUUUUGUGGGGUUUCUGAAAGCUUGAAGUUCAACACCCAAAAUCACUUGUCUUCACACAUGAGUUUCAAUUAGCUCCAAAGGGGGUAAAUACCCCAUUUCUAAGCAAGUUUUUUUGUCCACCAUGUCUAAAACAGCCAAAUCAAUUUGAGUUGUUAGUAUAUGAUAAAGUAAGAACAUGUGCACUGGUUUUCCAAAAACAAUUUAAAAAUUUAUGCUCAUUUGAAACUUGGUCAAACCUAUUUUUGACCAACAUUUAAACAAGUUUCAAACAUGAAAAUGACAAACCAAGCAUGGAUCCUUCUUAGUCACUCCAAAAUGAAGCUUUUGUGAGAUUUUUGAAAGUUUGAAGUUCAACACCCAAAACCACUUGUCUUCACACAUAAGUUUUAAAUUAGCUUCAAAGGGGGUAAAUACCUCAUUUCUAAGCAAGUUUUUUUCCACCAUGUCUAAAACAGCCAAAUCAAUUUGAGUUGUUAGUAUAUGACAAAGUAAGAACAUGUGCACCGGUUUUCCAAAUUUUUUUAAUUUAUGCUCAUUUCAAACUUGGUCAAACCUACUUUAGUCAUACUGACGUGGGGGGCUGACAGGUCAAUCUGACCCAUGGGCCAGGGAAGUCACCUCAGUGUGGCACCCUAGUUACUUAUACGGUGAAAUGUGUCAUACCCUAGCUAUUUACACAUCCAGAUCUGCGUUACUCUCGCCGCUGACGACCAUCAAAACCAUGCAAUCCAGCCCCGUCACCGUAGAUCAAGCGCUGUCGUGCGGCAAUCAUGAGGCCCGGAUCUUCCAGCUCACAAGGCGGCCAUUGCGGCAGCGGAAACCGCUCCGACAAGAGGAAUGGGGUGAAGCGGCCGGCGCCCGACUCUGACCCCGAACGGGCGGCGCGGGUUGCUUCCGACGCUGCUCGGAAGCGCGGCUCGCGCAAGUACACGAACUGGGGGCUCGUGCCGCCGCGUGCGUUCGCUCGGCGCUCGGUGGAGGAGUACGACCGCCAGAUGGUGGCGCCGCCGCGAGGUAGCUCCUCUACUGCAGCUGGCGCGGGGAGCUCCGCCAUUGCACCCGCACCGCUGCCGCCUCCGAAGAGGGAGGGGGAGGAGAAGGGCUUGGCACUGCGCCCCGGGUGCCUCGGCUUUCUACCGGGAGACUACGCCGACGACGACGACCUCGAUGGCGUCAUCGCCGAGAUUAUGGAGCGCACCAAGGACGAGCCCCAGCAGCUUGUCGCACGUCGGCAGAUGGAAGAGGAGCUCGACGAGUUCCGCCUCCGCCAAGCCAUCGAGAAAUCCCGCCCCGACUCCGACUCCGACUGACCGGCGUCGCCGCCUCGUCGGGGCCGCACCCCUAGGGUUCAGGUGAGCCCAAUUUUGGAGAUAUAACUAGGGGUAGGAGCUUUAUGUAAUCGAAGUACUCCGUGUGGCUUUUGCUCCGACGAGCCCGCCAUUAGAACUGGGUGUAAACGAACCACUACUACUCCGUGUGUAAUCGAACCACUAUGUUUGCUAAAAUGUAUCUAUGUUGUUUGAAUUCGAUCGAUUUCGGUUGAAUGCUUGUAAAUUUGCUAUUCUGAAUCGAAGCUCGCCGGCGUUGCCGUGCUUCGUCGCUGGAGAAGAAGAAGAGGGAGGAUGCGCGCGCAGGGGAAAACUGUUUAACCGUAGUCGCCGCCAUCUGGGUCCCAUGUCGACGUGGAUAAGCUCUGGGUCCCGCCCGGUUCCACCUAAUCCUGACAGAGAUUGUGCUUAAGGGUCAUGUCGUGCCUGGGCUAUUUGUGCUCACAGAGAUGUCGCAACAGAGCCAUUCUUGCGAACGAUGUCGCUUUGCAGUCAAUUUGCAGAAAAACGUCGCACAAGAGCUAUUGACCCUCUAACAAUAGACCUGAAUGCCCGUAUAUGUAGCUGUCAUAACUAACUAAUUAAUUAGGACAUUCAUUUUACUAGUAUAUAGUUUCAAAAAAUAUCAUUCUUUAGCUUUCUAAGCAUGGUUAUGAUCUACUGCUCUGACUAUCUGGUUGACCACCUUUGCAACCAUCAUGAAGUUAGUAUUUUAUUUAGAUGUUGGAGUAUUUUUAUUAUUGAUUUUAAUUAUUUUAUCGAAUGAAGAUUUCAUUUAUUUGUUUGAAUGAAGAUCCACAGUACGAAACUGUUUUGAAUCAUGAGAGUGGCAAAUAUCCGCGGAGAAGAUAUAGGAAGACCAACCGGAUGAUGAUUCUAGGAAAAUAAAUCCAACUUUUUGGGUCUGGCCCCGUCUCCAUUCCUUUGAAAUAAAAUAGAAAAUACAUAUCCAAUAAAUCAUAUUCAGUUGUGUUCCAGUGAUGAGCCCAUACGCGGCAGCACACUUCCUGUUCGUAACAGCACACUGAAGCCCAGCCAGCUGAGAAGGUCAGCAAGCUUUAGGUGUUGUCAGAGAAGGGAUGAGCAAGAUUGGACUUUACAAUGAGCUUGUUUGGGAUUCUACUCGGGUCCAAACAAUGCCCGGUUAAUUGAGAAGGGCUUCUUGGAAGUGUUUUUGCCAAGCCAAGUAGCCAACAUGAACCAUGAUGUAUUCUCUUGGCCUACAGCCGGUGAGAAGGGGAUGACGCUGGCUGAGCUGUGAGAAUGCACUCGGUGGACAGAUAUUUCACAUCCCUUCAUGACAGAAAUCUGCGUGCUAUCAUGUUGGUAUCCUCCAAUCUCUCACACAACCAGACAUUGUAGACAUGCUAGUACUACUGAAUGAUAAUAUAUGGUCGAGAAUAAGUAACCAAGCAAAAAUAUUGGUUGCUAUCUAUAUUAGCAAGCUCAUUGACACACACACUCAGAUAGGAAUGGGAACUCUGGUGCAUAUGUGCAUGAUAUAUAUAUUCUUGCAACAAGAAAUGGCACAUGCAUAUAAGCAUGAGUACAUGGGAACUCUGGUGCAUAUGUGCAUGAUAUAUAUAUUCUUGCAACAAGAAAUGGCACAUGCAUAUAAGCAUGAGUACAUGGGAACUCUGGUGCAUAUGUGCAUGAUAAUUAAAGUCUAACGUGUGUGAGCAACUGAGCACAUCAC
This 44470-nucleotide long non-coding RNA is filed under the name Hordeum vulgare. Its description in RNAcentral is "long non-coding RNA (HVUL_LNC013543)". Lineage: Eukaryota; Viridiplantae; Streptophyta; Magnoliopsida; Poales; Poaceae. The record is from RNAcentral.